AAAUUUGAAAAAAUGGUAAAACAGAGGUUCGUGAAAACGUCUUCGAGGCUGUCAUCUACACUUUUUCAACGGACGUCAUCGUCGAACCGACGAGUAGCCAAAAAUAAUGUUGACCGAAACGAAGGCUUCCGGUCAACGAGAAUUAAAACGAGAAAGAAAAGGAAAGGAAGAAGAUUAGAAAAUCUUGAAUAAUCCUGAAAACAACACGAUCAACCAAGGAAACCAUUUGAAAACUUAUAAAACAUCAGAA
RNAcentral lists this long non-coding RNA (250 nucleotides) under Polistes fuscatus (common paper wasp). RNAcentral's name for it is "uncharacterized LOC122524730". The record is from RNAcentral. Lineage: Eukaryota; Metazoa; Arthropoda; Insecta; Hymenoptera; Vespidae.